This 77-nucleotide transfer RNA is filed under the name Andreesenella formicacetica. RNAcentral describes it as "Clostridium formicaceticum tRNA-Val". It matches the Rfam family "tRNA". Rfam says of the family: Transfer RNA (tRNA) molecules are approximately 80 nucleotides in length. Their secondary structure includes four short double-helical elements and three loops (D, anti-codon, and T loops). Further hydrogen bonds mediate the characteristic L-shaped molecular structure. tRNAs have two regions of fundamental functional importance: the anti-codon, which is responsible for specific mRNA codon recognition, and the 3' end, to which the tRNAs corresponding amino acid is attached (by aminoacyl-tRNA synthetases). tRNAs cope with the degeneracy of the genetic code in two manners: having more than one tRNA (with a specific anti-codon) for a particular amino acid; and 'wobble' base-pairing, i.e. permitting non-standard base-pairing at the 3rd anti-codon position. The record is from RNAcentral. Lineage: Bacteria; Bacillati; Bacillota; Clostridia; Peptostreptococcales; Natronincolaceae. RNAcentral also lists the same sequence under 1 other name.
GGGGGAUUAGCUCAGCUGGUUAGAGUGCUUGCUUGACAUGCAAGAGGUCGGUGGUUCGAGUCCACUAUUUCCCACCA